RNAcentral lists this ribosomal RNA (301 nucleotides) under uncultured bacterium. Its description in RNAcentral is "partial 16S ribosomal RNA". It matches the Rfam family "Bacterial small subunit ribosomal RNA", at positions 509 to 807 of the family's 1533-position model. The record is from RNAcentral.
CAGUCGCCGCGGGAAUACGAAGGGUGCAAGCGUUAAUCGGAAUUACUGGGCGUAAAGCGUGCGUAGGCGGUUUGUUAAGUCUGCUGUGAAAUCCCCGGGCUCAACCUGGGAAUGGCAGUGGAUACUGGCAAGCUAGAGUGUGUCAGAGGAUGGUGGAAUUCCCGGUGUAGCGGUGAAAUGCGUAGAGAUCGGGAGGAACAUCAGUGGCGAAGGCGGCCAUCUGGGACAACACUGACGCUGAGGCACGAAAGCGUGGGGAGCAAACAGGAUUAGAUACCCGGGUAGUCCCUGUCUCUUAUAC